GGGCGUGCUAUACAUGCAGUCGAGCGAACAGACGAGGAGCUUGCUCCUCUGACGUUAGCGGCGGACGGGUGAGUAACACGUGGAUAACCUACCUAUAAGACUGGGAUAACUUCGGGAAACCGGAGCUAAUACCGGAUAAUAUAUUGAACCGCAUGGUUCAAUAGUGAAAGACGGUUUUGCUGUCACUUAUAGAUGGAUCCGCGCCGCAUUAGCUAGUUGGUAAGGUAACGGCUUACCAAGGCAACGAUGCGUAGCCGACCUGAGAGGGUGAUCGGCCACACUGGAACUGAGACACGGUCCAGACUCCUACGGGAGGCAGCAGUAGGGAAUCUUCCGCAAUGGGCGAAAGCCUGACGGAGCAACGCCGCGUGAGUGAUGAAGGUCUUCGGAUCGUAAAACUCUGUUAUUAGGGAAGAACAAAUGUGUAAGUAACUAUGCACGUCUUGACGGUACCUAAUCAGAAAGCCACGGCUAACUACGUGCCACGCCGGGGAAAAUA
Molecule: ribosomal RNA, 499 nt
Filed under: Staphylococcus epidermidis
Lineage: Bacteria; Bacillati; Bacillota; Bacilli; Caryophanales; Staphylococcaceae
Description: bacterial SSU rRNA
Rfam family: Bacterial small subunit ribosomal RNA
Source: RNAcentral